GAAAAGAAACCAACAGGGAUUGCCCUAGUAACGGCGAGUGAAGCGGCAACAGCUCAAAUUUGAAAGCUGGCUCUCGGGCCCGCAUUGUAAUUUGCAGAGGAUGCUUCUGGCGACGCGCCUUCCGAGUUCCCUGGAACGGGACGCCAUAGAGGGUGAGAGCCCCGUCCGGUCGUGCGCCUAGCCUCUGUGAAGCUCCUUCGACGAGUCGAGUAGUUUGGGAAUGCUGCUCAAAAUGGGAGGUAUACGUCUUCUAAAGCUAAAUACCGGCCAGAGACCGAUAGCGCACAAGUAGAGUGAUCGAAAGAUGAAAAGCACUUUGAAAAGAGAGUUAAAAAGUACGUGAAAUUGUUGAAAGGGAAGCGCUCAUGACCAGACUUGGGCUGGCCCGAUCAUCCGGCGUUCUCGCCGGUGCACUCGGGCCGCCCAGGCCAGCAUCAGCUUUCGCCGGGGGAUAAAGGCGGCGGGAAUGUGGCUCCCUCGGGAGUGUUAUAGCCCGCCGUGCAAUACCCUGGUGGGGGCUGAGGUUCGCGCGUAUGCACGGAUGCUGGCGUAAUGGUUAUCAG
Molecule: ribosomal RNA, 563 nt
Filed under: Trichothecium roseum
Lineage: Eukaryota; Fungi; Ascomycota; Sordariomycetes; Hypocreales
Description: partial large subunit ribosomal RNA
Rfam family: Eukaryotic large subunit ribosomal RNA
Source: RNAcentral